UACGUAGGUGGCAAGCGUUGUCCGGAUUUAUUGGGUUUAAAGGGUGCGUAGGUGGCCAUGUAAGUCAGUUGUGAAAUCCCCGGGCUCAACCCGGGAAGUGCUUCUGAUACUGGAUGGCUUGAGUUUGGGAGAGGGAUGCGGAAUUCCAGGUGUAGCGGUGAAAUGCGUAGAUAUCUGGAGGAACACCGGUGGCGAAGGCGGCAUCCUGGACCAACACUGACGCUGAGGAGCGAAAGCCAGGGGAGCAAACGGG
RNAcentral lists this ribosomal RNA (253 nucleotides) under uncultured bacterium. Its description in RNAcentral is "partial 16S ribosomal RNA". It matches the Rfam family "Bacterial small subunit ribosomal RNA", at positions 524 to 776 of the family's 1533-position model. The record is from RNAcentral.